GGCUGGAGACAAAUGUGGAACGUCAAGGACAAGGCGAGUAAGCAAUAAUGGAUGAAAAUGAUGAUGAACGUGGAGGACAAAGAUCAAGACCCUGUGUGGGAUUUUCGGAGAGAUGCCAUGCACACACUCUGAUUCUUCAUUUGCUGAAUAGGCAGGUGGUGAAGGUAAUGGAGUUUGGAGUGGAGUCUCCCAUGUUUAUC
This is a long non-coding RNA of Arabidopsis thaliana (thale cress), 200 nucleotides long. RefSeq annotates it as other RNA. The transcript has a single exon. The record is from RefSeq. NCBI's taxonomy places the organism in Eukaryota, Viridiplantae, Streptophyta, Magnoliopsida, Brassicales, Brassicaceae.